This 940-nucleotide ribosomal RNA is filed under the name bacterium EFRS68. RNAcentral describes it as "bacterial SSU rRNA". It matches the Rfam family "Bacterial small subunit ribosomal RNA", at positions 58 to 1011 of the family's 1533-position model. The record is from RNAcentral.
CAAGUCGAACGGAAAGGCCCGCUUGCGGGUACUCGAGUGGCGAACGGGUGAGUAACACGUGGGUGAUCUGCCCUGGACUCUGGGAUAAGCCUGGGAAACUGGGUCUAAUACCGGAUAUGACCUUACAUCGCAUGGUGUUUGGUGGAAAGCUUUUGCGGUUCAGGAUGGGCCCGCGGCCUAUCAGCUUGUUGGUGGGGUAAUGGCCUACCAAGGCGACGACGGGUAGCCGACCUGAGAGGGUGAUCGGCCACACUGGGACUGAGACACGGCCCAGACUCCUACGGGAGGCAGCAGUGGGGAAUAUUGCACAAUGGGCGCAAGCCUGAUGCAGCGACGCCGCGUGAGGGAUGACGGCCUUCGGGUUGUAAACCUCUUUCACCAGGGACGAAGCGCAAGUGACGGUACCUGGAGAAGAAGCACCGGCCAACUACGUGCCAGCAGCCGCGGUAAUACGUAGGGUGCGAGCGUUGUCCGGAAUUACUGGGCGUAAAGAGCUCGUAGGCGGUUUGUCGCGUCGUCUGUGAAAUUCUGCAACUCAAUUGUAGGCGUGCAGGCGAUACGGGCAGACUUGAGUACUACAGGGGAGACUGGAAUUCCUGGUGUAGCGGUGAAAUGCGCAGAUAUCAGGAGGAACACCGGUGGCGAAGGCGGGUCUCUGGGUAGUAACUGACGCUGAGGAGCGAAAGCGUGGGUAGCGAACAGGAUUAGAUACCCUGGUAGUCCACGCCGUAAACGGUGGGUACUAGGUGUGGGGCUCAUUUCACGAGUUCCGUGCCGUAGCUAACGCAUUAAGUACCCCGCCUGGGGAGUACGGCCGCAAGGCUAAACUCAAAGGAAUUGACGGGGGCCCGCACAAGCGGCGGAGCAUGUGGAUUAAUUCGAUGCAACGCGAAGAACCUUACCUGGGUUUGACAUACACCAGAAAGCUGUAGAGAUAUAG